RNAcentral lists this long non-coding RNA (670 nucleotides) under Mus spicilegus (steppe mouse). RNAcentral's name for it is "lncRNA (ENSMSIG00000014294.1)". Lineage: Eukaryota; Metazoa; Chordata; Mammalia; Rodentia; Muridae. The record is from RNAcentral.
GAAUAAUCCUGCCAGCCCUUGGUGGUGUAAAUGGCAGAUGGGAACAGAUGACUGUGGCCUCUCAGCAUCCUGCCUUCCUGUGGUCCUGGGGCAAGUCCAGCUUCAGAGGGAGAACAGGUGCACUGUGUGGAUUGUCUGUGGGAGAAGUUGGUGAAGACUUUCUGAAAGGUCCAGGAGGGUGGAGAAGAUGAGUGAACUCUCCAGCAGUAACCCACAGGUGACAUGGGACCGAUGUCCUGCUGCUGCACUCAUGAAUGUAGGCUGGGUCACCCUGCUGCCAGUCACUGAACUCCACCAGGCAGGGAUGUGUUCAGGACUGGGGGAGGGGUACGGAGAGUGGGGAAGACAUGCACAGCUCUGGCAAUAUGAUGAGAUAGAAACUGGUAGUAGACAAGGCAGGCAGGGCGGGCUUGGCAGCAGAGCUGGUGUUAAUUCAUUCAAGCAGCGUCUCCCGUUGGCUCUGCCUUUUCCAGCUUGCAAGGUGUUUUCACAUCCUGUUCUGAGCCUGAUCCUGGCAAGGGAUCAGGGAGGGAGGCACAGAAGGCUGUUAGUGCAUUGGGAGGCCACAGCUAUGGUGGCUGGAGGAGGUGUUGGGGUUCUGGUGAGCAGAGGAUGCAGGGCUGCUGCUUCCUAUCCAACUUCUAGGGGGCUCCAAGUGGCUCAGACAGGU